This 689-nucleotide ribosomal RNA is filed under the name Hoplobatrachus tigerinus (Indus valley bullfrog). RNAcentral's name for it is "partial 12S rRNA". It matches the Rfam family "Bacterial small subunit ribosomal RNA", at positions 318 to 1389 of the family's 1533-position model. Lineage: Eukaryota; Metazoa; Chordata; Amphibia; Anura; Dicroglossidae. The record is from RNAcentral.
ACCUAGUCCCACCACACCCCCAAGGGUAUUCAGCAGUGAUAGAUAUUGUCUAUAAGCGCUAGCUUGACCCAGUUAUAGAGAAGAGAGCCGGCCAACUUGGUGCCAGCCGCCGCGGCUAGACCAACUGGACUCAAAUUGAUAAUCCCCGGCGUUAAGCGUGAUUAAAGCCAUGAACAAAUUAGAGUUAAACCUACGUUGAGCAGUGAAAAGCACACGAUAGGGAAAUCCAAAAACGAAAGUUAUUCUAAUCCUUGCUUGAAUACACGACAACUAGGACACAAACUGGGAUUAGAUACCCCACUAUGCCUAGCCGUAAACUAUUAACCUACACCCACCCGCGCCAGGGAACUACGAGCUUUAGCUUAAAACCCAAAGGACUUGACGGUGUCCCACCCAACUAGAGGAGCCUGUUCUAUAAUCGAUGACCCCCGCUCCACCCAACCCCCCCUUGCUUUAUCAGCCUGUAUACCUCCGUCGUAAACCCGCCGUAUGAAUGUACCCAAGCGGAUUUAAUGGUCCCACACCAACACGUCAGGUCAAGGUGCAGCCAAUGGGAGAGGUAAGUGAUGGGCUACAAUUUCUAGUCUAGAACAAACGAAAUUCUGCAUGAAACACAGUUAUGAAGGAGGAUUUAGUAGUAAAAAGAAAGUAGCGUGUUCUUUUUAACAUGGCCCUGGGACGUGUACACA